AGACCCUACAUCUCUUGACCAGAUCCUUCUCUGCUGCCAAGGAGACUCGCAUUCCCUGGACUUGCUAAGUACCCAGAGAGCUGUCAAGAGCGGUGGGACCCUGGGAAUCCAGCUGAAAAGCAGAAGAAAACAGAUCGAGCCUCCUGUGAUUGACAAGUCCUCUCGCUGCAGAAUUGGGCCGAAAACGCCUGCUUCAGAACAUUGGAUUCCAAAUGGGAGGCUGGCAGAGCGGCAGAGUGCACGGAUGUCACCUUGCCUGCACCCCCCAGAUGG
Long non-coding RNA from Echinops telfairi (small Madagascar hedgehog), 273 nucleotides. RefSeq lists it as uncharacterized. NCBI's taxonomy places the organism in Eukaryota, Metazoa, Chordata, Mammalia, Afrosoricida, Tenrecidae. The transcript is spliced from 3 exons. The record is from RefSeq and is a predicted model, not a curated record.